Molecule: long non-coding RNA, 364 nt
Organism: Leptinotarsa decemlineata (Colorado potato beetle)
Lineage: Eukaryota; Metazoa; Arthropoda; Insecta; Coleoptera; Chrysomelidae
Source: RefSeq, a predicted model, not a curated record
UGGCUCACGCAUGUUCUAAAUAAUAAUUCCAAGACAAACCUAAACAUCCGACCAUUACAUAUAUUAGUGUCCUAAAUUUCUAAAUACUCGUUACUGAGAUGUACAAAUAUGUAAUCUACUAUAUAAGUUCAAGUUACGGCUACUCAAGAAACUACAGACUCUCGUGACCUAUAAAAUACCGUCAACUAGAUUUCGAAGAAGCUAGCUAGAUGUCCGACUCGAAUCAGCUGAUCGAAACAAUGUUUAUGCAACUUCUGAAAAAAGCUCCAGUCAAACAACCAGAAGCGGAUCCGCUGGAAUGGGAUAUCCUUUCAUUUUAAAUUUGUAUGUACGAGUGUGCUGAAUAAAUGAUAUUGAUUUCACA